Molecule: small RNA, 728 nt
Filed under: Pan troglodytes (chimpanzee)
Lineage: Eukaryota; Metazoa; Chordata; Mammalia; Primates; Hominidae
Description: processed transcript
Source: RNAcentral
ACGUUUCCGCGGCCUGCCUGUCUUCCGGGCCUUGGCUCUCUCCGCCUCUCUGUCCUUGUGUGUCUCUCCUGUCUCCAUAGUGUUCUCACGCUCUCUCUCCCUUACUCUGCUCUUCCUCUCUGAUUUGAUCCCUUUUGCUCUCUGCCUUUUUCUGACUCAUGCCCGAACCUUGUCUUAUCUUUGUCUCUUUUUUUGGUUGUGUCUUUCUGCCUGUGCCUCCCUCCAUCUCUCUCUCUCUCUCUUUCUGUUCUGUCUUCACUCUUCCAGUUUCCACUUCUAAGUCUUGCAUACACACACACACACACACACACACACACGUUGCCACACAGCCCCUCGCCCUGUCCCUGGGUGACAAGCUCAGGCGCUGUGGGGUGUGGCGCUCAGCAGCAGGGGAGACAGUGAGCAGGGAGGAGAGGGGGAGGAAGCACGCCUCCCCCAGCCUGGCCCGAGGCACCAGGAACAGGCCUUGUUGCUGGUGGCGGCCUUGGCGGGCCUGGGCUUGGGCCUGAGCCUCAUUUUCAUCGCUGUCUACCUCAUCCGCUUCUGCUGCUGCCGGCCCCCCGAGCCACCCGGGUCCAAGAUCCCCUCGCCCGGGGGAGGCUGCGUCACCUGGAGCUGCAUUGUCGCCCUUCUCGCCGGCUGCCCACUUCAGCGCACAGCAGGAAGGACUGUCCCAUUUGAUGGAUGGAGAAAGUGAGGCUCUGGAGAGGAAGUGAAUCAAGGGCAGC